Molecule: ribosomal RNA, 896 nt
Filed under: Arcopilus aureus
Lineage: Eukaryota; Fungi; Ascomycota; Sordariomycetes; Sordariales; Chaetomiaceae
Description: LSU rRNA
Rfam family: Eukaryotic large subunit ribosomal RNA
Source: RNAcentral
GCAUAUCAAUAAGCGGAGGAAAAGAAACCAACAGGGAUUGCCCUAGUAACGGCGAGUGAAGCGGCAACAGCUCAAAUUUGAAAUCUGGCCUCGGCCCGAGUUGUAAUUUGCAGAGGAAGCUUUAGGCGCGGCACCUUCUGAGUCCCCUGGAACGGGGCGCCAUAGAGGGUGAGAGCCCCGUAUAGUUGGAUGCCUAGCCUGUGUAAAGCUCCUUCGACGAGUCGAGUAGUUUGGGAAUGCUGCUCAAAAUGGGAGGUAAAUUUCUUCUAAAGCUAAAUACCGGCCAGAGACCGAUAGCGCACAAGUAGAGUGAUCGAAAGAUGAAAAGCACUUUGAAAAGAGGGUUAAAUAGCACGUGAAAUUGUUGAAAGGGAAGCGCUUGUGACCAGACUUGCGCCGGGCUGAUCAUCCGGUGUUCUCACCGGUGCACUCUGCCCGGCUCAGGCCAGCAUCGGUUCUCGCGGGGGGAUAAAGGCCCAGGGAACGUAGCUCCUCCGGGAGUGUUAUAGCCCUGGGUGCAAUGCCCUCGCGGGGACCGAGGUUCGCGCAUCUGCAAGGAUGCUGGCGUAAUGGUCACCAGCGACCCGUCUUGAAACACGGACCAAGGAGUCAAGGUUUUGCGCGAGUGUUUGGGUGUAAAACCCGCACGCGUAAUGAAAGUGAACGUAGGUGAGAGCUUCGGCGCAUCAUCGACCGAUCCUGAUGUUUUCGGAUGGAUUUGAGUAGGAGCGUUAAGCCUUGGACCCGAAAGAUGGUGAACUAUGCUUGGAUAGGGUGAAGCCAGAGGAAACUCUGGUGGAGGCUCGCAGCGGUUCUGACGUGCAAAUCGAUCGUCAAAUCUGAGCAUGGGGGCGAAAGACUAAUCGAACCAUCUAGUAGCUGGUUACCGCCGAAGU